UGGGGGAUAUUGCACAAUGGGCGAAAGCCUGAUGCAGCGACGCCGCGUGGGGGAUGAAGGCUUUCGGGUUGUAAACCUCUUUCGCUAUCGAACAAGGCCCGCUUAGGGUGGGUUGAGGGUAGGUGGAGAAGAAGCGCCGGCUAACUACGUGCCAGCAGCCGCGGUAAUACGUAGGGCGCGAGCGUUGUCCGGAAUUAUUGGGCGUAAAGGGCUUGUAGGCGGCUUGUUGCGCCUGCUGUGAAAACGCGGGGCUUAACUUCGCGCGUGCAGUGGGUACGGGCAGGCUUGAGUGUGGUAGGGGAGAAUGGAAUUCCCGGUGGAGCGGUGGAAUGCGCAGAUAUCGGGAGGAACACCGGUGGCGAAGGCGGUUCUCUGGGCCUUUCCUGACGCUGAGAAGCGAAAGCGUGGGGAGCGAACAGG
RNAcentral lists this ribosomal RNA (420 nucleotides) under Fusobacteriota bacterium. Its description in RNAcentral is "Fusobacteria bacterium partial 16S ribosomal RNA". It matches the Rfam family "Bacterial small subunit ribosomal RNA", at positions 355 to 776 of the family's 1533-position model. The record is from RNAcentral. Lineage: Bacteria; Fusobacteriati; Fusobacteriota.